GGGCCCGCACAAGCGGAGGAACAUGUGGUUUAAUUCGAUGAUACGCGAGGAACCUUACCCGGGCUCGAACGGUGUUUGAAUAAGUGUGAAAGCAUUUAGCCAGCAAUGGCAGACAUCGAGGUGCUGCAUGGUUGUCGUCAGCUCGUGCCGUGAGGUGUCGGCUUAAGUGCCAUAACGAGCGCAACCCUUAUCUUUAGUUACCAUCAGGUCAAGCUGGGGACUCUAGAGAGACUGCCACCGUAAGGUGAGAGGAAGGUGGGGAUGACGUCAAAUCAGCACGGCCCUUACGUCCGGGGCGACACACGUGUUACAAUGGGGGGGACAAAGGGUCGCUACUUGGCAACAAGAUGCUAAUCUCUAAACCCUCUCCCAGUUCGGAUCGGAGUCUGCAACUCGACUCCGUGAAGCUGGAUUCGCUAGUAAUCGCGCAUCAGCCAUGGCGCGGUGAAUACG
Molecule: ribosomal RNA, 453 nt
Filed under: uncultured Bacteroidales bacterium
Lineage: Bacteria; Pseudomonadati; Bacteroidota; Bacteroidia; Bacteroidales
Description: bacterial SSU rRNA
Rfam family: Bacterial small subunit ribosomal RNA
Source: RNAcentral